CCAUCCUGAAGCUGUCCACCAGAGGCCCUCGGACUUUUACUCCUUUCCCUGCCACCUGACUGCCCCACCCACCUGUUCCCACUUCAUCUGCCCUGCAGCUACCUGGCCUACUCCUCACCUACAACUCAUUCCCUCAGUGUACAUCAACAACCAGUAUCUGAUCCAGGAGCAGCGCUCAGGCCAAACUCAGCCAGGCAAAGGAGCGCUACCAGCAGGCCAGUGGAGGAGUGACAGAGAGGACCAGAGUCCUGGCAGAGAGGCUCUGGGUUUCCUGCUGUUUUCCAGCUUCUUCGGUUGACAGGUAAAUUUCCUGAAGCUCCUGGCCUUUCUUGAUGAUGACCUUUUAAUUUGGCCUUAAAUGAUCAGUUAUUGAGGACACAGACUGAGAAAGACCCAAAGCUGAUUCCUGAUCAGAUCAACAGAUGUCACCAUGUGAUCUUACA
This is a long non-coding RNA of Micropterus dolomieu (smallmouth bass), 443 nucleotides long. RefSeq lists it as uncharacterized. The transcript has 3 exons. The record is from RefSeq and is a predicted model, not a curated record. NCBI's taxonomy places the organism in Eukaryota, Metazoa, Chordata, Actinopteri, Centrarchiformes, Centrarchidae.